Molecule: long non-coding RNA, 222 nt
Filed under: Carica papaya (papaya)
Lineage: Eukaryota; Viridiplantae; Streptophyta; Magnoliopsida; Brassicales; Caricaceae
Description: long non-coding RNA (CPAP_LNC012393)
Source: RNAcentral
UGCAUUAAAGAAGGUUUUGAAACUUAUAUGUGUUGUACUAUUUUUGUUUAUCUUAUUGAAUAUUUAAAACUCCUCCAAAUUCCACCCCCUUCCCUAGAUACCGAGUGUAUUUUAUUUUGUACUUGAGGCUUGUAUUUUGUUUUAGGUUAUCUUUUAUUUUGUAUUGUAUAGUGUAGAUAGCUUAUUUGGCCUCUGGAUGUCAUCUUUUGUAAACUACAUAUU